CAGUAGCCACGGGAAUACGAGGGGAGCUAGCGUUAUUCGGAAUUACUGGGCGUAAGGCGCACGUAGGCGGCUUUGUAAGUUAGAGGUGAAGGCCCAGAGCUCAACUCUGGAAUUGCCUUUAAGACUGCAUCGCUUGAAUCCAGGAGAGGUGAGUGGAAUUCCGAGUGUAGAGGUGAAAUUCGUAGAUAUUCGGGAGAACACCAGUGGCGAAGGCGGCUCACUGGACUGGUAUUGACGCUGAGGUGCGAAAGCGUGGGGAGCAAACAGGAUUAGAGACCCCUGUAGUCCCUGUCUCUUAUAC
Molecule: ribosomal RNA, 301 nt
Filed under: uncultured bacterium
Lineage: Bacteria
Description: partial 16S ribosomal RNA
Rfam family: Bacterial small subunit ribosomal RNA
Source: RNAcentral